This 730-nucleotide ribosomal RNA is filed under the name uncultured bacterium. Its description in RNAcentral is "bacterial SSU rRNA". It matches the Rfam family "Bacterial small subunit ribosomal RNA", at positions 111 to 823 of the family's 1533-position model. The record is from RNAcentral.
UAACGCGUGGAUAAUCUGCCUCUGCAAUCGGAAUAACGACUGGAAACGGUCGCUAAUACCGGAUACGCUUAAGUUUUACCUCUUAAGGAAAGAUGACCUCUAUUUAUAAGUUAUCGUGCAGAGAUGAGUCCGCGUCCCAUUAGCUUGUUGGCGGGGUAACGGCCCACCAAGGCGACGAUGGGUAGCCGAUUUAAGAGGAUGAUCGGCCACAUUGGAACUGAAACACGGUCCAAACUCCUACGGGAGGCAGCAGUGGGGAAUAUUGCGCAAUGGGCGAAAGCCUGACGCAGCGACGCCGCGUGAGGGAUGAAGGUCUUCGGAUCGUAAACCUCUGUCAGAAGGGAAAAAUGUACAGUGCUCCAAUCAACACUGUAUUGAUGGUACCUUCAGAGGAAGCACCGGCUAACUCCGUGCCAGCAGCCGCGGUAAUACGGAGGGUGCAAGCGUUAAUCGGAAUUACUGGGCGUAAAGCGCGCGUAGGUUGUUUUGUAAGUCAGAGGUGUAAUCCCACGGCUUAACCGUGGAACUGCCUUUGAUACUGCAUAACUUGGAUCCGGGAGAGGACAGCGGAAUUCCAGGUGUAGGAGUGAAAUCCGUAGAUAUCUGGAAGAACAUCAGUGGCGAAGGCGGCUGUCUGGACCGGUAUUGACGCUGAGGCGCGAAAGCGUGGGGUAGCAAACAGGAUUAGAUACCCUGGUAGUCCACGCUGUAAACGAUGGAUGCUGGAUGU